This 56-nucleotide non-coding RNA is filed under the name Streptomyces sp. MspMP-M5. RNAcentral's name for it is "L17-Actino-Proteobacteria ribosomal protein leader". It matches the Rfam family "L17-Actino-Proteobacteria ribosomal protein leader". Lineage: Bacteria; Bacillati; Actinomycetota; Actinomycetes; Kitasatosporales; Streptomycetaceae. The record is from RNAcentral.
CCGGUGAGCGCUCGCUCAUCGGGUCCUGACACCGGUACCUGAUACGGCCGGUGCAG